Molecule: unclassified non-coding RNA, 765 nt
Organism: Vigna unguiculata (cowpea)
Lineage: Eukaryota; Viridiplantae; Streptophyta; Magnoliopsida; Fabales; Fabaceae
Source: RefSeq, a predicted model, not a curated record
GAACGGGCGUCUGACAGAGGCUGAAACCCCCCUCUGUAAAACAAUGGCUUCCUCCAACACUCCCAAACCCCACAAAUCUCCCAAGGCCAAGAAAGGAGAAAUCUCCACAACCCAAAAUAAAACGAAGGAGAAGACUCGAGACAUCACCAAAGAGGAAAACCAAAAGAAGAAGAAUAAGAAGCCCAAGCUCAGCAACGGCAAUUCAAAACACCCACACCAAAAGGGCGCAGAAAGAAGCGGUGAAGAUGAGAAAGCCAACGUUUUUCCCAUGAAUCGUAUCAGGACCAUGAUCAAGGGCGAAGAUCCUGAUAUGCGUGUUUCGCAGGAAGCGGUGUUAGCCAUCAACAAAGCUGUGGAGAAGUUUCUUGAGCAAUUCACGCAGGACGCUUAUGCUUGUUGUGUCCAGGACCGCAAGAAAUGUCUGAGUUACAAGCACGUUGCAAAUGUUGUUAGUAAGAAGAGGAGAUACGACUUUCUUUCCGAUUUUGUUCCUGAGAAAGUGAAAGCUGAGGAUGCAUUAAGAGAGAGAGAUGCAUCAGGCAAUGGAGUCUUUCAGAAAAUCUAAAGCGAGCUAGUGGAGAAUCUAAACUAGUACAUUAUAGAAUCAUGUCACAUUUUGUAAUUGAAACAUGCUUCAGGAUGAUGACCAGGCAUGCUUAAUGCUCGAGUCUGCUUUGGUAGCAUGAUGCAAAUUUGCCUUUACCACUGGAUGGAAUCACAGUAUAUUGUUAAUAACAGCAGAACGCUAGCAAACCUGUUAUUAAA